RNAcentral lists this transfer-messenger RNA (372 nucleotides) under Patescibacteria group. RNAcentral's name for it is "g JAKAJD01 X2 Standard tmRNA". It matches the Rfam family "transfer-messenger RNA". From Rfam's summary of the family: Bacterial tmRNA, also known as 10Sa RNA or SsrA, is named for its dual tRNA and mRNA-like properties. Its role is to liberate the mRNA from a stalled ribosome. To accomplish this part of the tmRNA is used as a reading frame that ends in a translation stop signal. The record is from RNAcentral.
GGGGAUGUAUUGUUUCGACAGGAUCGCACUUUGACAAACUGCAAGCCGAACACGAUUCUAAAGCGCGUUAAGCUUUGAAUCAAACUUAAGUGCAAACAGAAAUGUUGCACCCGCUUUUGCUUUUGCCGCAUAAGGUAAGAGUUUAAAAGCUGUCCUUUUGGUUUUUUCUCGGUGAAGCCAUUGGGGCAUAAAUUUAGCCGGGAGUAGAUCUCUGGUUUCUGAUCAGGCCAAAGAUUGAAAAAGAUCGAUCUAUGUUCAGACUAUUCCUGUUAGUCGGAAAAGGUUUGAACGAAAUUUUAAAGACCAACUAAGCUUGUAGAUGUUUGCAAAAUGUAAUCUUGGACGCCGAGUCACUCUCGGCCAUCUCCACAA